GACGAACGCUGGCGGCGUGCUUAACACAUGCAAGUCGAACGGUGAAGCGCCUUCCUUUUUGGUGGGUGUGGAUGAGUGGCGAACGGGUGAGUAACACGUGAGUAACCUGCCCCCUUCUUCUGGAUAACCGCAUGAAAGUGUGGCUAAUACGGGAUAUUCUGGGUCUGUCGCAUGAUGGGUCUGGGAAAGAUAUUGUUUCGGUGGGGGAUGGGCUCGCGGCCUAUCAGCUUGUUGGUGGGGUGAUGGCCUACCAAGGCGGUGACGGGUAGCCGGCCUGAGAGGGUGGACGGUCACACUGGGACUGAGACACGGCCCAGACUCCUACGGGAGGCAGCAGUGGGGAAUAGUGCACAAUGGGCGCAAGCCUGAUGCAGCGACGCCGCGUGAGGGAUGGAGGCCUUCGGGUUGUGAACCUCUUUCGCCAGUGAAGCAGGCCUGCCUCGUUUGUGGGUGGGUUGACGGCAGCUGGAUAAGAAGCGCCGGCUAACUACGUG
Molecule: ribosomal RNA, 494 nt
Filed under: uncultured bacterium
Lineage: Bacteria
Description: partial 16S ribosomal RNA
Rfam family: Bacterial small subunit ribosomal RNA
Source: RNAcentral